RNAcentral lists this long non-coding RNA (735 nucleotides) under Bos taurus (domestic cattle). Its description in RNAcentral is "long non-coding RNA NONBTAT016980". Lineage: Eukaryota; Metazoa; Chordata; Mammalia; Artiodactyla; Bovidae. The record is from RNAcentral.
AUACAUAGAGAUAUUCCAAGUGUGAAGCAGAGAGAGAAAUCUUUUAAGAGAGAUUAUCAAGGAUCAAAGUCCUACUGAAGAGACUUUAGUUUCUGUUUUUUAAAUUAAAAAGCAAGCUCCCUCUUCUGAUUUUUUUCAGUAAGCCUAAGGGAUAGUUUGAGAAAAUACCAACCUUUUUCUUUGAAAUUCCAAGGUUCACACAAUCCUGGCAGCUCUCAGGAUCUUGUUGCGGAUCUGAACAGAGUCACAAACUAAAAGAAUAGGUCGGGAAAUGUUAGAUCUACCUGAGGCUGUGGUGGAAAGCCUGUCAACAGGAUGCUACACUUCCUGUCGCAUAGUCCCUGUACGUUUAGUUAACCAAUCACUACCAUACUCAGAGAGAAAUCCAUGAAUCUUCCAAAAAUCAUGUAUUUGGAGGCAAAAAUUGUUUUCUCUGACCCAUCUCUAGAGGAGAGGAAUCUCAUCUCCUCCUGUAAUAUUAAAAUAUGUGUCUUCUGGCCCAAGAUUAAAAGCAAACCAAACCCAGUACUGAAAGAACAACUCAAUUAUAAGUUAAAAAUCUACAAAAAUUUUAAAAAGUAAUUUGAGCAAACUCUGUAUCUAGCCAACCUAUGUAACCACAAGACAGACGCUAAGGCCUCCCUGCUACCCUGCGUCUAUCUGGAAGUGAAGUGUCCUGAGACUUUAAAUGAAUGUCUUUGUUAUCAGAGGAACUGAAUUGGAAAAAGAAGCUUU